RNAcentral lists this unclassified non-coding RNA (522 nucleotides) under Hevea brasiliensis (rubber tree). The record is from RNAcentral. Lineage: Eukaryota; Viridiplantae; Streptophyta; Magnoliopsida; Malpighiales; Euphorbiaceae.
GAAAGGACCUAACUACAUAUGCAACCAAUUGAGGGUGUAAUUACCACCUCUUAUAAUCACAACUUUCAGUAUACACCUUCAAUAAGCAACAGCAUGUUUACUAUUCUUGCUGUCCGUUAGCUUCAGUAGCCGUACUGCUCAUUUCAGGUCCUUCAUCCGCAGAUUUCAUUUCGUUCAGGUUGCUUGGUUUCGCCUUGUUCCGAUCACGCCAACCAAGGCCGAACGAUAGUAGACCUGUCCUUUUUGCUGGUGCACCUUGCGGAGAAUCUGGUUUUGUCGCCCGUGGGGAAGAUAGAGCUUUGACUUGACCAGAUUCAUAUUGCAAGGUAGCUUCAAGCAUCGAUUCAGCCAUGACAACUCUCUUCUCCAUCUGAGCAACAGAAGCCAUAGCCUUUUCAUACUUUUCCUGAAGAACGUGUACUGCAUACUUUUGAGCUGCCACAUCCUGCUCGGCAGCAAUCCUAGCAUCUUCUGUUACCUUCUGUUCUUGCUCAACCCGCAUCAAAACCUCAAGCAUUGCUU